UCAGGAUGAACGCUAGCGACAGGCUAACACAUGCAAGUCGAGGGGCAGCAUAAAAGUAGCAAUACUUGGUGGCGACCGGCGCACGGGUGAGUAACGCGUGUGCAACCUACCUAUCAGAGGGGAAUAACCCGGCGAAAGUCGGACUAAUACCGCAUAAACAAAAGGGGCACCGCAUGGUGAUAUUUGUUAAAGAAAUUCGCUGAUAGAUGGGCAUGCGUUCCAUUAGGUAGUUGGUGAGGUAACGGCUCACCAAGCCGACGAUGGAUAGGGAACUGAGAGGUUGGUCCCCCACACUGGUACUGAGACACGGACCAGACUCCUACGGGAGGCAGCAGUGAGGAAUAUUGGUCAAUGGGCGGGAGCCUGAACCAGCCAAGUCGCGUGAAGGAAGAAGGAUCUAUGGUUCGUAAACUUCUUUUGCAGGGGAAUAAAGUGCAGGACGUGUCCUGUUUUGUAUGUACCCUGAGAAUAAGGAUCGGCUAACUCCGUGCCAGCCGCCGC
RNAcentral lists this ribosomal RNA (501 nucleotides) under uncultured bacterium. RNAcentral's name for it is "bacterial SSU rRNA". It matches the Rfam family "Bacterial small subunit ribosomal RNA", at positions 24 to 518 of the family's 1533-position model. The record is from RNAcentral.